RNAcentral lists this transfer RNA (84 nucleotides) under Dictyota dichotoma. RNAcentral describes it as "tRNA-Ser". It matches the Rfam family "tRNA". From Rfam's summary of the family: Transfer RNA (tRNA) molecules are approximately 80 nucleotides in length. Their secondary structure includes four short double-helical elements and three loops (D, anti-codon, and T loops). The record is from RNAcentral. Lineage: Eukaryota; Phaeophyceae; Dictyotales; Dictyotaceae.
GGAGAUGUGGCUGAGUGGCUUAAAGCUUUGGUUUGCUAAAUCAACCUGUACGAGUACAGCGUAGGUUCGAAUCCUACCGUCUCU